This 497-nucleotide ribosomal RNA is filed under the name uncultured bacterium. Its description in RNAcentral is "partial 16S ribosomal RNA". It matches the Rfam family "Bacterial small subunit ribosomal RNA", at positions 28 to 507 of the family's 1533-position model. The record is from RNAcentral.
GAUGAACGCUGGCGGCGUGCCUAAUACAUGCAAGCCGAGCGAACAGAUGAGGAGCUUGCUCCUCUUACGUUAGCGGCGGACGGGUGAGUAACACGUGGAUAACCUACCUAUAAGACUGGGAUAACUUCGGGAAACCGGAGCUAAUACCGGAUAAUAUAUUGAACCGCAUGGUUCAAUAGUGAAAGACGGUUUUGCUGUCACUUAUAGAUGGAUCCGCGCCGCAUUAGCUAGUUGGUAAGGUAACGGCUUACCAAGGCAACGAUUCGUAGCCGACCUGAGAGGGUGAUCGGCCACACUGGAACUGAGACACGGUCCAGACUCCUACGGGACGCAGCAGUAGGGAAUCGUCGGCAAUGGGCGAAAGCCUGACGGAGCAACGCGGCGUGAGUGAUGAAGGUCUUCGGAUCGUAAAACUCUGUUAUUAGGGAAGAACAAAUGUGGAAGUAACUAUGCACGUCUUGACGGUACCUAAUCAGAAAGCCACGGCUAACUACGUG